UACGGAGGGUGCAAGCGUUAUCCGGAUUCACUGGGUUUAAAGGGUGCGUAGGAGGGCAGGUAAGUCAGUGGUGAAAUCUCCGGGCUUAACUCGGAAACUGCCGUUGAUACUAUCUGUCUUGAAUACCGUGGAGAUGAGCGGAAUAUGUCAUGUAGCGGUGAAAUGCUUAGAUAUGACAUAGAACACCAAUUGCGAAGGCAGCUCACUACGCGAAUAUUGACACUGAGGCACGAAAGCGUGGGGAUCAAACAGG
This 253-nucleotide ribosomal RNA is filed under the name uncultured bacterium. Its description in RNAcentral is "partial 16S ribosomal RNA". It matches the Rfam family "Bacterial small subunit ribosomal RNA", at positions 524 to 776 of the family's 1533-position model. The record is from RNAcentral.